UGGGGGAUAUUGCACAAUGGGGGGAACCCUGAUGCAGCAACGCCGCGUGAGUGAAGAAGGUUUUCGGAUUGUAAAGCUCUGUUAACAGGGAAGAGGAAGGACAGUACCUGAAGAGGAAGCCACGGCUAACUACGUGCCAGCAGCCGCGGUAAUACGUAGGUGGCAAGCGUUGUUCGGAAUAACUGGGCGUAAAGGAUGCGUAGGCGGUUGGAUAAGUUAUGUGUCAAAUAUAUAGGCUUAACCUGUAGAAGGCAUAUAAAACUGUUUAACUAGAGUGCAGGAGAGGUAAGUGGAAUUCCUAGUGUAGCGGUGAAAUGCGUAGAGAUUAGGAAGAACACCAGUGGCGAAGGCGACUUACUGGACUGUAACUGACGCUGAGGCAUGAGAGCAUGGGGAGCAAACAG
Molecule: ribosomal RNA, 404 nt
Filed under: uncultured bacterium
Lineage: Bacteria
Description: bacterial SSU rRNA
Rfam family: Bacterial small subunit ribosomal RNA
Source: RNAcentral